GAUGAAGAACGUAGCGAAAUGCGAUAAGUAAUGUGAAUUGCAGAAUUCCGUGAAUCAUCGAAUCUUUGAACGCACAUUGCGCCCCCUGGCAUUCCGGGGGGCAUGCCUGUCCGAGCGUCAUUUCUGCCCUCAAGCACGGCUUGUGUGUUGGGUGUGGUCCCCCCGGGGACCUGCCCGAAAGGCAGCGGCGACGUCCGUCUGGUCCUCGAGCGUAUGGGGCUCUGUCACUCGCUCGGGAAGGACCUGCGGGGGUUGGUCACCACUAUAUUUUACCACGGUUGACCUCGGAUCAGGUAGGAGUUACCCGCUGAACUUAAGCAUAUUCAAUAAGCGGAGGA
RNAcentral lists this unclassified non-coding RNA (338 nucleotides) under soil metagenome. Its description in RNAcentral is "partial contains 5.8S ribosomal RNA, internal transcribed spacer 2, and large subunit ribosomal RNA". The stretch from base 1 to 120 matches the Rfam family "5.8S ribosomal RNA", at positions 35 to 154 of the family's 154-position model. The record is from RNAcentral.